This 253-nucleotide ribosomal RNA is filed under the name uncultured bacterium. Its description in RNAcentral is "partial 16S ribosomal RNA". It matches the Rfam family "Bacterial small subunit ribosomal RNA", at positions 524 to 776 of the family's 1533-position model. The record is from RNAcentral.
UACGUAGGGUGCGAGCGUUAAUCGGAAUUACUGGGCGUAAAGGGUGCGCAGGCGGUUAUAUAAGGCAGAUGUGAAAUCCCCGGGCUCAACCUGGGAACUGCGUUUGUGACUGUAUGACUAGAGUACGGUAGAGAGGGGUGGAAUUCCUGGUGUAGCAGUGAAAUGCGUAGAUAUCAGGAGGAAUACCGGUGGCGAAGGCGGCAUCCUGGACCGAUAUUGACACUGAUGAGCGAAAGCCAGGGGAGCAAACGGG